Molecule: long non-coding RNA, 488 nt
Organism: Suricata suricatta (meerkat)
Lineage: Eukaryota; Metazoa; Chordata; Mammalia; Carnivora; Herpestidae
Exons: 2
Source: RefSeq, a predicted model, not a curated record
AGCAGUGGUGACUUCUGACCAGGGGUCUGCACUGCGCACCCAUGAUCGGGACAAAUCCGUGAGCUCAGGAACAGGCUCGCUGGAAGAAGAUGCGAGAGGAAGUUACUUGGAAUCGCAGCUGACAUCAGCGUACUACUCACCACGGGGACACGGGGACUGUUAGAAGCCACGAGCGACAUCCCAUACUUCCGUGGAAGAGAGUCCCGAGGCUGCCCUGGGCCUACCGCUGCAUGGCCGCAGGCAAGCUCCUUAGCUUCUCUGAGGCUCACUGUCAUCCUCUGCAGAACGGGACCUUGCAGUGGCGCAGUGACAGAGGCCACCUCCUCACAGAGGUGCUCGGCAGUGCUCCGGUCGUGGAGGGCAAGGAUCCCAGCACCCAUAGCAUGACCCCGAACCCAAGUGCUGCACCAGGCAUCGUGACUUCCGGUCCCUCCUGACCUCCCCACGAGUCACUAUCCUUAUGCGCUAAAUAAACAGGCUGCAUUUGA